Non-coding RNA from Sturnus vulgaris (Common starling), 831 nucleotides. The record is from RefSeq and is a predicted model, not a curated record. Lineage: Eukaryota; Metazoa; Chordata; Aves; Passeriformes; Sturnidae.
CAGGUCUUGCAUGCUGUGACACGAAGGUCUCAUUUCCUGGUGGGCUAUGUUCAUGUUUUGAAAUCAAGAUUGAUUAGGCAACACGAGGAGACCCAGCUGGUUAUGUGACUCAGAGCCCCGUUUGUGAAGCACUCGCUCGUUUUUACAAGAGACAACUGUCCAGAGGAAGAAAUGACCAUGUAGAUUCCACAGCUUGGGUGCAGCAUAAUGGGAAAUGGUGAAUGGAGUGGAGCUGGUCUGCAGCCUUGAGAGCAGCCGUUCUGUGACCUCCAGCCAGUCAGGGACACCCUCCACGCCACGAGCAUCCUCCAGCCGCUCGCCGGACACUCGCGGGAUUCUUUUUAAUUUCUCACUUUGGAAUUCAAGAUUCCUCUCCUUCGAUUUUUAAACAGUUUUAAGAUUGUAUCAACUGCAACGAGUGGAGCAAUAUAACCAAGCCACGAUGGGUGACAUGACAAAUAGCGAUUUUUAUUCCAAGAACCAAAGAAAUGAGGCCAACCAUGCAGGAGAGUUUGGGUGCACUCUGCAGGAACUGCGCUCCCUCAUGGAACUCCGAGGGACAGAAGCAGUAGUAAAAAUUAAAGAGACUUAUGGGGAAACAGAGGGGCUCUGCAGACAUCUGAAGACAUCACCAACAGAAGGUAAGCACUUCUCACUUCGCUUCAAUUAGGGGACUUGGUGUAAAUGCCCUCCAGACAGUGAAAAAAGAGGUUUUGAUUCCAACCCGAACAGAAUUCUCAUGGUGCUGCCAUUAUUCCCUACAAUAAUAAAACAAGAGUCUUCUAAGAAAGCAGGUAAACCAGUCCAGCUAUAGCUAAAGCUGGCACGAGA